Molecule: ribosomal RNA, 254 nt
Filed under: uncultured bacterium
Lineage: Bacteria
Description: partial 16S ribosomal RNA
Rfam family: Bacterial small subunit ribosomal RNA
Source: RNAcentral
UACGUAGGGGGCAAGCGUUGUCCGGAUUUAUUGGGCGUAAAGAGCGUGUAGGCGGCCACACAGGUCCGCUGUGAAAACUCGAGGCUCAACCUCGAGCUGUCGGUGGAAACCGUGUGGCUAGAGUCCGGAAGAGGAGAGUGGAAUUCCCAGUGUAGCGGUGAAAUGCGUAGAUAUCUGGAGGAACACCGGUGGCGAAGGCGGCAUCCUGGACCACGACUGACGCUGAGUGAGCGAAAGCCAGGGGAGCAAACGGG